GGCGAAUGUUUUAAGAGGUCAUAUGUAAACACGAAAACAGUUUCUCAACAGCAUUCGACAGACAAGGCAGCAAAGAGAAAUGUUGAUACAAUCGAUAUUUAUUAACACUUUGGCCAUCCUGUUGGUCUUCUGGCUGGGACACGUUACUUGCCAAUCAUCGGCCGAUGAUCAAGAGCUUGAAAUCGGAAUAAAAGGGGAAGGACCACCGGAAAAGGAAGAAUUUCCUUGGACGUAUGAUGGCCAGGAAAACUGAUAGUUCGGGGAUCUUUCAUAAGUCAUAUUCAGUAAUACUUUGAUUAUAUAUAAAUAUUUCAAAGAUUAUAUUAUAAUUAACAGUUGCUGCUUAUCAGUAAUGGUAUAAAAGUCUUAAUUGUAACAUAUUUUUGGGAUGAUGUAAAACUGAGCUUGGGGCAAAUUAGCAAAUUGGAGAAACAAAUAAAAAUAAAAAAACUUUGAUAAUCAUUUUAUGACUGAUAGUGUUCAAUUUCGCAAGUACAGUUUUUGUUUAAAAAUACGUAAGUCACUGCAAAAAUUAUACGUACAAUGACCACAAAAAUUCAUUUAUGUAGCAUGAUUUCAGGCUGAUGACAAUUUAGAAUCUGAAAUACAAGUCCAUCUUUAAUUGUUUGCUUUAUCAAAUCGUACUCAAGUUUUAACCUUUGAAUAGUUGAUUGUAAAUCAAAGAACAUUGUAAUUUAACCGAAGUAGUAACUAAGGGCUGCCAAAGCAAUGGAAACAUGUGCCACUGUUAAAAAUAAAAACUCAAGGACAGGAUUAUCAUUAUAAAGCAAUGGAAAACUCACCAGCCAAAGGCCAAACCGGAAGACAGGCGCACGGAAAAGCCAUGCUAAUAAAAAUUCCCAGAAGUUUCACCCCAUUUAAUGCCAGGCACAGCAAUAUCGUGGAUAAUAUCUGUAAAAACAUUACCAUAGUAAUUCCGAUAACAAUAUCUUGGUUAA
Molecule: RNA transcript, 959 nt
Organism: Drosophila gunungcola (fruit fly)
Lineage: Eukaryota; Metazoa; Arthropoda; Insecta; Diptera; Drosophilidae
Exons: 4
Source: RefSeq, a predicted model, not a curated record